RNAcentral lists this long non-coding RNA (9207 nucleotides) under Populus tremula. RNAcentral describes it as "long non-coding RNA (PTRE_LNC000553)". The record is from RNAcentral. Lineage: Eukaryota; Viridiplantae; Streptophyta; Magnoliopsida; Malpighiales; Salicaceae.
AGCCGCCGCCAGGCCAACCCCCCAUCCCUUCCAUUUUUAUUUUUAUUUUUAUUUUUUUUCUUUUCUUUUCCUCUCGACACCAGCCAAACAGCCACCCUCCCCUGGUUUGAAAUUUGUUUUUUCUCCGACAGACAGCCGGCCAAAGUUUCUUCUCCACAGAGAGCCGGCCAAAGUUUUUUUUUUCUUUCAUAGAGCAGCCGUUCCCCUCACACAGCCCUCAUUUUCUCCUUUCUUCUUCUCCAGCUUGCGCCAGUUCCCUCUGCCCUCAUUUCCUUCAACAGCCUGCCUAUUUUCUUCCUCCUUCGGUUUCAAUCAACGCCGGUUUUCUUCUCAGCCGACAACACAGACCAGCAGCCGCCAGCUCCACCGUAGCUUCAACAGCCCGAGCUCAGCCUCACACCGGAUCAGACCUCCCUUCCCUCAGCCACCGGGCAACAGUCGACCCAUCGCCCUCCACAGCAGCGACGGCCACUACCCCUUUCUCCCUCUCCGGGUCAACGAACAGGCCCGACCACAGCAGCAAGCAACCACCGAUCUCCUCCUUCAAUCGACCACCGCCACCUGAAACAGAGAAGGAUGAGAAAGCAAAGGAAGAGAAAUUGAGAAGAAGAGAAGGAGAAGCAGAUCUGAUAAAAAGAAGAAAAAACCGAAAAAGAUCUCUAAAAAAAACAAAGGAAAUAAAAUCUAAAAUCAACUGUUUGCGGCCUUUAUUUUGCGUUCUUGUGGCAGGUGAAGGUGGCGGUGACCACCGGCGAAGAAGAAGGGAGGAUCUCCCCUGCUUUUUUUUUUGGGCGGCGCGUGAACCCACGCGCCGCCAGUGACGGUAGCGCGUGGAGCAACGCGCCGCCCGUGUUCAGCUGCCCAGAAUGUGUUUCCGACACUGUUCCUGUGAUGCCUUAUAAAUUCCAGAUUAUGUUGGGGCUGUUUUUUUUGUUGUAAAUUUUAAAUUAAUUAAUGUAAUUUUUAUUUUGUUGUUUGAAUUUGUAUUGUAUAAAUGUGAUGUAAAAAAAAAAAAAAGAAGAAGAAAAGAAAAGAAAAUAAUAAUAACAAAGGGGAUGUGUGUGUUGGUGUAUUUUUAUUUAUUUAUUUUGAAUUUGUAUUUGUAUUUUGUGGAUGUAAAAGAAAAGGAAAAGAAAAGAAAAAGAAAAGAAAAGAAUAAAAAUAGUGAAAGUGUAUGUGUGUGUUUGUAUUUUGUUUUAUUUAUUUGUAUGAUAAAAUUGCAAAUAUAUUAAAGAAGAAUUUAAUAUUUUGAUUGGAUCACGGUUAAGAAUUAUUAACUUAUACGUAAGUGAUAUUUCUAAUUUCCGAUGAAAAAACAAUUAUUAAAACUUCUUUAACACGUGUAUGUGUGUGUUUGUAUUUUGUUUUAUUCAUUUGUAUAUAUUUUUAAGGAUGAGAUUGCAAAUACAUUAAAGAAGAAUUUAAUAUUUUGAUCGGAUCACGGUUAAGAAUUAUUAACUUAUACGUAAGUGAUAUUUCUAAUUUCCGAAGAAAAGACAAUUAUUAAAACUUCUUUAACACGUCAAAGCCACGAAGCAGCUUACCUCAGGUAGGGUGCGUUAGGGGUGCUAAUACCUUCCCUAACCACAACCAGUCCCUUACCCGCGAAUCUCUGACAAGACCAGUACAUCCGGUUUCCUAGUAGCCCGCAAUCAAUUACUAGGUGGCGACUCCAACGAACCAAUUCAAAGCAAACGCAACAAACGAGAUUUAAAUCGCCAGCCGAUGCCGCGCGCUGAUUUUUUUUGGGGUGCGACAGAAUGGCGACUCCACUGGGGAAGGUAUUUUUUCGAUUAUUGGACUAAGCUUUGUGUAUUUGAUGUGUUUAAGUUUUUGCAUUUUUAUCUUUUUGGUUAAUAUUUAUUUCCAUGCAUUUUAUAGAAUUGUCUCAUGCAUCACUUGUAUUUAUUUUUAAAAGCACACACAAGCUUCUAGGUUAGGUGGGGAACUAGCGAUCUGCCCUAAGACUAUUGGUCAGGGUUCAGAUGCGUGAAACACCCAACUCAUAUCUGAGUGCCUGCUUGGUAAUGGUGGGUAUACGUACCUUAACCAUUCCUUGCAACGCCCCCAAACUGUCUUUACGAAGAACGUCACUGGGCAGAUAUGAGACCCUUUUGAGACCAGAUAGAAAACUUACCCAUGUUCACAUAAUGAAUAGAACCUGUCCUUAGGUUGUAUGUGCUAUCGUUUUUUGCAUAAGGGCAAACCCUUCUUGAAGCAUCUUGAACUCAAGACUUGUGGGUGACACAUUGGCCGUUGCUCCGAAAAUUUUCAUUGUAGAGUUUGGGCAAAAAUCACGAUUCUUGUCCAUCAUACAAGAGUUACGACCAUAUUGUCACCUCUCGAAGGGAGAGUUCAUCAUAUAGAUUACAUGUUCAUACAUUUAUCAUGCAUGAACCGGGUCGAAACGUAGGUCCCUUGUACAAGUUGUGCUGCACGAGAUUGAAGAAAAAUAAUGGAAGUGAACAAAGGAGUCAGAUAUAGGUUCAGUAUCAGAUUAAGGUUGAGAGCAUCAAGAGUGAAGUAGCGGGACUCAGAUCUGCUCGAACAAGUGUUGAGCAUCAAAUGAAAAGAGAAUGUCUGCACAGUUUUCUGUGGGAACACUGCUUGUUCACGUCCAAUUGAAGCUGUACCUUUCCUUUUCAGUCAUGAACAACAGCAACAACGCCUUCAGUCAUCAACUAAUGACAACUCUGAUUCCUGUCCAGUUGCGCUGUUAAGUAUUCAUCGCCUCCACAUCAUCUAAUGGAACCAAACGACUACUAACCUCCUGUUCAUGGUGCAUUAGUCUGCUUUGAAGUUACCCCAAUUAUGAGCUCAAUUCCAGUUCAGCAGCACAAGAUGUUGGUCUAAAAAAAAAAACCAUGAUCAGACACUGAAUUUCAACGCGGUAGAGCUCUCUCUGUAGAGAUUUAUUUGUGGAUCUGUCAAUGGAAAUGCAAAAGGGAAUGUAUUAAUUUCAUAUGCUUUGAAACUAUUUCCCACCAGUGGCACCAGCAAAACAUUGUAGUAGACAGAAGAGUCAGACCUGGUCUGAUAAUAUUAGUAGUUGUCAAACUUCAAUGUGGCAGAGCUCUCUCUAUAAAAAUCCAUUUAUGGCUCUGCAAAUUGGGAAUGCAAGAGGGGAUUUACUAAUUGCAUAUGCUACAAAUAUUUCUCUCAUCAGUUUCAGCACGAAGAAACUAUAGCAGGUUGAAGAGCCAGACUUGGCUUGAAAAAUAUGAGCAGACAUCAAACUUCAACGUAGCAGAGCUCUCCCAACAGGAAUCUGUUUGUGGAUCCGCAAGUGGGAAAUCCAAGAAGGAAUACAGUAGUUUCAGAUCAUUUAUGAUUUUUCUCCAACAAUGUCAGUAUUAAAAUGCAAAAGUAGAGAGAAGAGACAUGCCUAGACUGAAAAACAUGAAGAAGACUGAAACUUCAACAGAGCAGAACUUCCUCUAUAGGUGUUGUUUGCUGCAUCUCAGAAGAAUCGAAGAGGAAAAGAGAGAUUCAUGUUCAUCAUUUUCUCAUGAAGACAUGGUGAUUCCACAUGUCGGUAGUGGCGAUACUACAAGUUUCUGGGCGCUGCCAAGAUUACCAAGCUGUUGAAAGUUUUCUAACAAUCCUCAACCAACCACAACAACAUUGGAAGAUUGAAAUAAUGUUGUAGGAUUUGCCGAAGAAUUGAACAAGCUAUGAAGAGGAAAGAUUGAAGGAUCUGCCAUGGAUUCUAGAACAAUGAUGAGAGGUGAAUCAGGAGAUGACUUUGACGGUGUGAGCCCUUAAUUAUGUGGUAUAGCCAGGUCUCACGGUAGCAUCAAUUGCUCAAAUAUCUUUGCCAAGAUGGGACAUUCCUCUGCCAUUUAAGUUUGUCGACCAGCAUCUGCCAGAUUCCAGAAUUUUGCUUGACUCCGACAAAUCCCAUGCAACCACCAUUUCUAGGUGGUUAAUCCAAAGAGAUGUGAUGUCAUGGUGGGGUCCUCAACCAUUUCAAUUGAACAAUUUCAAGAAUUGCAAGAAGGAGUCUGAAAGUUGGUGAGCAAGAGACAAGUGGAGUCGUUGAAGAGGGUGUCAUGGCUAUAUUGUUCCCCGAACAUCUUCAGAAUGACAUGUGAUCGAAAAUGCUUGCAAACACAGAUAUUGCCAGAAAAGCUGAUUCAGAAUGGUGAUGAACAGUCAAUCAUAUUGUUAUGGAUUUCUGCAUUUUGUUUUGGGAUCACAUCUCAUCCUUCAACGAAACAUGCCUGGCUUUUGUCUCUUUGUUGUUUUGAAAUCAGCAGAUGUUUAGCAUUUUUUUUCUGACAAAAUAUUUUGAACAAACUCCAACAUGCGAUAAAGGUUAAUCAAUCCGGAAGAUUAGAAGUGUUUUGAUUACAGAAAUGACUCCAUGCUUGAAAAUGACAUGAGGUGACCAAACAAUUUUGAACUCAUACCUCCUGAAACUGAACCACACAUCAUAUAGCUAAGUUUUAACAGUAUGCAUAAUGACAUGUAGUGGAUUCGGUAGUUAUGGACUCGUGAAUCAUGAUUCUUACAAGUCCCAAUCAUUACACUAGAUGAGGUCAAAAUUUAUCGGUUCUAACCGACCUUGCUUGAAAUGAGAAAAGGCCAUCUUUGAUAUCCCUUCACUUUCUAAAGAUUAUAUCCCUUGCAGUCCCAUUUUGAGCCUGGUAAAAUAUUUUCUUUCAAAAAAAGAAACCCUGACUAGGAUCACACCCCACAUGGGGGCAAAUGAGAGAUAUUUUGGAGACAUUGAUAUAAUUAAUGGAUAAAGGGGAAGGCUUAGAACAAAGGUCCAAUGAUUGAGAGAGAGCUAAAAGAAAACACAUAGACUGGGGGCAUAUAAGAAAAUUUUGAGGAAGGCUAUGAAAAAAAAAAAAAAGAGAAUGAAAAAAGGAAGUUGAAAUUGCCUCACUUAAACAAGUCAAAGAUAAAGGAAGGAGAACGCCUAUCAAGUCUAUGAAGAGCAAAAGAAAUUUCAAUCAAGGAAAGGCACAACAAAAGUCAAUACCAGAAAAAGACUAAGCUAUAAGCGUUGACUUUUGGUAUCCAUUAUAAAACCUACGAUGUUAUCAGAUGAUUAAGGUUGGUUAUUCAUCAAAGAAAGUUGGAUUUGCAUUAUGACUUAUGUUAAGAAAUCUAUUUGAGGUUAACAAGGUUAUAUGUCGUCUCUUACAAGACAACAAUAGAAAAGAAUGAUGAAUAGUUAUGUUGAUCCUAGGUUGAAACCCUCAAACACCUUUUGAGCCUUUGAAAUUCCUUUCUUUCAUAGCCAUGAACCAUAGCCUGCAUUACGUGCUUUUUAAAAGCCCUUUUUAAUCAAGCAAGCAAUUUGAACCGAUAAAUGGCGCUCUCAAAACUUGAAGAGUUUUCCAUAAGGGUCGUGACUUCAUGAAUUAAGCUAUUGGUUAUUAUGCAUGCUGAUAAAACAAGUUAUAAGAAGAGAAACAACCUUUCUUGAUAAAGCCUGUUUUGACUUGAGCAUUUGUUUUUUGAAAUUCACAAAGGUCACCUCAUCAUAGACUAUCAAAUGAUAUACCCAAUAUCAAGGAUUCAAAUUGAUACAAAGAACCAUGGAAAAAGCCAUUUUUAAUCCUACAUUGGGUCAAUUUCUGUUUUCAAAAUGCAUGACAAUCAAAGGACUAUAUAUUUCGAAUAAAAUGUGUUGGGCUUUGAUCAAAAAGCUUGAUUUUCAAAAGAUUUUCAAAAAGACAUCUCUGAUUUCAUUUCAACAAACUAGACUUUGAAUAGACAUGAUCUUUGAAAUAUGAGAGUUGAUUCCAGAACAAGGAAGAUUAUCAAACACAGAAAGAACAUUGAUUGAGUAUGCAAAAUCGUUGAUAGAAAUGACAUUGACAUUGAAGUCCUCGACACUCCUUGAAAAGUUGAGCAGCUGGGGGCAAUACAGUAGACCUUGAAAAGGAAAAACAAGCAGUGCUCAGAUCAGCUAUGAGGCAAUGUUAAAUGAUGAAUCAGUGAACUGAAGACAAUGAUGUUCAAAGACAGAUAAUCAAUGAACGAGCACAUUCAGAUCAUACUGGGGGCAAUGUCAUUCCAAAAUGGCCCAUGCUUUAGUGAACCUGUCGGCAAUGGAGAAACAAGGAUGUACUGAAGGACACUUUCCUAUCAUCAUCUUUUGAAACAUGGCUAGCAUCGAUGAGAUACACAGAUGAAUGUAAUUGAAUGGUGAAAAGAUGCACACCACCAAGACUGACUGUGGAACAAUGCUGCACUUAAAGGACAAUCUCAUAUUGUCAUUCUUUGAAACAUGGUUAUAGACAGAUGUUAUCACACAACUGCACUGAAUGAAUGUCGGAAAGGACCCACCUCGAAGACUGAUUGUGGGACAACUUGUUCUGAAGCCAGAUGAGCGCUUCACCGCAUGAGUAUGAGUGAUAAAAGCAGCAUCAUUGAUGAGGCUGAGACAUUUCUUUUCACAAUCUGAUUAGAAGAGUUGAAAGGAAUCUAUGAGAAGAGCACUGAGCAUACAACCAUGAGCCUUUGUACUGCAAGCUAUGAGAUGCAUGUCUAGAUGACUGAUUGAGUUCAAGGAGGCUGAUGAUAACAUGUACUUGAAGAGUACUGUUUCAACUAGAGGCAAGUUCAUGACUGAUUAACAAUCUUGAUGGGUGUUGGCAUGAUGCCACAAUCAAUCAGAGGAUAAUUCUCAGAAGAAGCCAGGAGAGAAAAUCCUUCAUGAUGAAUCAAGCAGUACCACACUUGGGGGCAGGGUCAAGCUUGAUGAACGAUGCAAGCAGUAAUUGUCGAAGACAGCCCGGGAUGGGCACUGCAUUUACAGUUGAGUGGAUGGCUAGCACAUGAAUGAGCUAAUGCAUCGGAAGAACAAAGAAAGCUUUGGGAUGCAAACAAGGGCACCCUAUGACGAUGGAGCAUCAAAGAGGGGGGACCUAUAUUUCAAAUCAGGUAAGGAUGCAUGCAUAUCAUCUAACCUCCAAAAAAAAAAAAAAAAAAAAAAACAAAACACACCAUUUGCACAUAUUUUUCAAUUGUUACAGGAAAAUCCCAAAGAAAUGAAGAGAUCAACCUUGCGAUCGGGAAGCCUCGAGUUUUCAACCCUUGCAGUCAGGAAACACCGAGUUUUCAAACCCUAUGAUCGAGAAUUAUCAGGAAGCACCAAGUUUUCCAGCCCUUUUCUUCUGUCAUCCCUUCAGAACUUCGCAGGUAAGUCCUAUUUUUCACACUUGUCAUAUUACAUUUUUUCCAUCUGGGUAGGUCGCCCAUCAUAAUAAGACCGUUUUUCACAUUUUUUCCAUCUGGGUAGGUCACCCAUUACAAUGAGACCACACUUCAUAUUUUUUCCACAUGGGUAGGUCACCCAUUACAAUGAGACCGCACUUCACAUUUUUUCCAUCUGGGUAGGUCACCCAUACAAUGAGACCAUCAUUUUUUCGGGUUCGUCACCCAUACAAUGAGACCAUCAUAUUUCUAGGGUUCGUCACCCGUACAAUGAGACCAGCAUUUCUCUAGGGUUCGUCACCCGUACAAUGAGACCAGCACUAGGGUUCGUCACCCGUACAAUGAGACCAGCACUAGGGUUCGUCACCCGUACAAUGAGACCAACAGCACUAGGGUUCGUCACCCGUACAAUGAGACCAGCACUAGGGUUCGUCACCCGUACAAUGAGACCAACAGCACUAGGGUUCGUCACCCGUACAAUGAGACCAGUAUUUUUCGAGGGUUAGUCACCCGUACAAUGAGACCAGAAUGAGGUCGCCAGAUGGGAUCUCAUGUAACUUUGGUUAAAGGGAAUCGCCAGAUGGGAUUUCAGGUUAACCGAGUUACACAUAUUUUCGUUCCAGUUGAAUGAGGUCGCCAGAUGGGAUCUCAAGUAAACCCAAUGUGUGGGCAGGUCGCCCGUGAAAAUAGACUAUUGGGAGAGUGUGGGUCGGUCGCCCGUGAAAAUGGACUUGAGUGAGUAUGUGUGGGCAGGUCGCCCGUGAAAAUAGAUCAGUGUGAGUGUGUGGGCAGGUCGCCCAAGAUAAUGAAAUCAUCUUCCUUUUGUUUUCUUUACAAAGCUUACUAUGCAAAAUUUUGAGGAUUUUCGCUUCGUAAGCAUUGUAAAGAGGGGGCAUCUGUUGCUACCCAAUUUUUGACCCAUGUUUUUUAUAUAUUUUCAAAAAAUCCAAAAAUUGAGAAAAACAAAGAAAAUCCAAAAAAUAUGUUUUUUAAUAUAUUUUCGUCAUUUUAGCAUUUUCAACGUCAUCUAAAAAAGAAUUUAAUUUGUUAAAAUAUUUUCAAACGCGUUCGACUUUUCGCGUCAUUUUUAAAAUCAUUGAUUUUCCGCAUUUAAGUCGACGUUGAUAUUGCUCGUUUUUAAAAAAAAAUACAAAAAAAUAAGAAAAAUCAAAAUUUACAAAAAAGAAAGAAGUUGAGGGACCAAGUUGAAAGACCUAGCAACAUUUUUGCCUAUAAAUACCAUGCUAAACUGACUUUUAGGGGGGGGGGGCAAUUUUGAUAUUUAAGGGAGAGACAACACAGAAACAAAACCUAAAUCCAUCUCUUCUCAGCCGCCGCCAGGCCAACCCCCAUCCCUUCCAUUUUUAUUUUUAUUUUUAUUUUUUUUCUUUUUUCCUCUCGACACCAGCCAAACAGCCACCCUCCCCUGGUUUGAAAUUUGUUUUUUCUCCGACAGACAGCCGGCCAAAGUUUCUUCUCCACAGAGAGCCGGCCAAGUUUUUUUUUUCUUUCAUAGAGCAGCCGUUCCCCUCACACAGCCCUCAUUUUCUCCUUUCUUCUUCUCCAGCUUGCGCCAGUUCCCUCUGCCCUCAUUUCCUUCAACAGCCUGCCUAUUUUCUUCCUCCUUCGGUUUCAAUCAACGCCGAUUUUCUUCUCAGCCGACAACACAGACCAGCAGCCGCCAGCUCCACCGUAGCUUCAACAGCCCGAGCUCAGCCUCACACCGGAUCAGACCUCCCUUCCCUCAGCCACCGGGCAACAGUCGACCCAUCGCCCUCCACAGCAGCGACGGCCACUACCCCUUUCUCCCUCUCCGGGUCAACGAACAGGCCGACCACAGCAGCAAGCAACACCGAUCUCCUCUUUCAAUCGACCACCGCCACCUGAAACAGAGAAGGAUGAGAAAGCAAAGGAAGAGAAAUUGAGAAGAAGAGAAGGAGAAGCAGAUCUGAUAAAAAGAAGAAAAAAACCGAAAAAGAUCUCUAAAAAAAACAAAGGAAAUAAAAUCUAAAAUCAACUGUUUGCGGCCUU